Molecule: long non-coding RNA, 732 nt
Organism: Apodemus sylvaticus (European woodmouse)
Lineage: Eukaryota; Metazoa; Chordata; Mammalia; Rodentia; Muridae
Exons: 4
Source: RefSeq, a predicted model, not a curated record
GUCCCUCCCUCCCAUGCUGCUACAGAGCUCCCAGCACUCAAGUGGAUUCUCCCUAAGUUUUAUUUUGUGCUUUGACCCCAAACUCUGAUAAAAGUAAGGCAAAUUUCAUUAUGUUUUAGGUCCAUUUUAUACUUAAACACUCUCAGUAGAUUUUCUAGGAUGCUUUUGCAGUGCUUAAGCAGGCCUUGAGAGACUACCAGAAGAAUGUUUCAUUGUAUUCUUUUCCCAGCCCACAGGAGUAGCCUUCCUGCCAAGAAUAAACAAGUCCUAACUCUGCAGACUCCUACACAACUAGAGGCAGUUAGUCCUUUGUCCUCCAUGGAAAAGUUUCUGGGAACCUGAUGUCAAAUGUCACCUGUGCAUACUUCCCUGAGAAGUGGAAUCUGGCUGCAGUGCAACACCAAGAGAAGCAGCAUCUGUAGGUAUCUGGAUCCUCCCUUGUCAGCAGCUCUAAGCACUGACUUGCAAUGGCUGCCUGCCUCAGUUUGCCUACCACAUGGAUGCCCAAGCUGGUCUGUGGCAACAGAGGACAAUGAAACAACAUCAACAUAGAACUUUCCACAAUGGAAACUUCUUAAUGACUGAAGAAGGUGCCGGUCAUGCUAUUUCAAUGUUCUGUUCUAGUUCCCUGUUAACCAUAGCAGAAGAGAUUAUUACAAGAAACAAUUUCAGUUUUUUAUUUAACUUCAUUGUUACAAAUAGUUUCACUCACUGUAAUUAUUUUAUGUUAUG